Molecule: non-coding RNA, 24 nt
Filed under: Arabidopsis thaliana (thale cress)
Lineage: Eukaryota; Viridiplantae; Streptophyta; Magnoliopsida; Brassicales; Brassicaceae
Source: RNAcentral
AGGGUGUGACUAGUAUGCAGUUUA